CCUACGUGCGGCAGCAGUGAGGAAUAUUGGUCAAUGGACGAGAGUCUGAACCAGCCAAGUAGCGUGAAGGAUGACUGCCCUAUGGGUUGUAAACUUCUUUUAUAAAGGAAUAAAACGAGGCACGUGUGCCUUUUUGCAUGUACUUUAUGAAUAAGGAUCGGCUAACUCCGUGCCAGCAGCCGCGGUAAUAAGGAGGAUCCGAGCGUUAUCCGGAUUUAUUGGGUUUAAAGGGAGCGUAGAUGGGUUGUUAAGUCAGUUGUGAAAGUUUGCGGCUCAACCGUAAAAUUGCAAUUGAUACUGGCAGUCUUGAGUACAGUUGAGGUAGGCGGAAUUCGUGGUGUAGCGGUGAAAUGCUUAGAUAUCACGAAGAACCCCGAUUGCGAAGGCAGCCUACUAAACUGUGACUGACAUUGAUGCUCGAAAGUGUGGGUAUCAAACAGGAUUAGAUACCCCUGUAGUC
RNAcentral lists this ribosomal RNA (460 nucleotides) under uncultured bacterium. Its description in RNAcentral is "partial 16S ribosomal RNA". It matches the Rfam family "Bacterial small subunit ribosomal RNA", at positions 338 to 795 of the family's 1533-position model. The record is from RNAcentral.